This 1965-nucleotide ribosomal RNA is filed under the name human gut metagenome. RNAcentral describes it as "bacterial LSU rRNA". It matches the Rfam family "Bacterial large subunit ribosomal RNA", at positions 3 to 1990 of the family's 2925-position model. The record is from RNAcentral.
UCAAGCUAAUAAGAGCACAGGGUGGAUGCCCAGGCACCAAACGCCGACGAAAGACGUGGCAAGCUGCGAAAAGUCACGGGGAACCGCAAGCAGGUAUUGAUCCGUGAACGUCUGAAUGGGGAAACCCGGCGGGUUAACAGCCCGUCACUAUUAACUGAAUCAAUAGGUUAAUAGAGGGAACGCGGGGAACUGAAACAUCUCAGUACCCGUAGGAAGAGAAAAUAAAGAAUGAUUUCCUAAGUAGCGGCGAGCGAACGGGAAAGAGGCCAAACCGAAGGGCUUGCUCUUCGGGGUUGUGGAUCAGCGAUAAGUACGCAAGACCUUAGCAGAAGAGGAUUGGAAAGUCCCGCCAGAGAGGGUAAAAGCCCCUUACGCGAAAAGGUCAAACGACGAGCUGACACCAGAGUACCGCAGGACACGAGAAAUCCGGUGGGAAGCCGGGAGGACCACCUCCCAAGCCUAAAUACGAAUUGGUGACCGAUAGCGCAUAGUACCGUGAGGGAAAGGUGAAAAGAACCCCGGGAGGGGAGUGAAAAAGAACCUGAAACCCUGUGUUUACAAGCAGUGAAAGUGCAAGAAAGGCACGAUCACGUACUUUUUGUAGAACGGACCGGCGAGUUACGUUAUGCAGCAAGGUUAAGAACUAAAGGUUCGGAGCCGAAGCGAAAGCGAGUCUGAACAGGGCGAUAGUUGCAUGACGUAGACCCGAAACCGGGUGACCUAUCCAUGAGCAGGUUGAAGUGGAGGUAAAGCUCCAUGGAGGACCGAACCAGACGUCUGUUGAAAAAGGCGGGGAUGACUUGUGGAUAGGGGAGAAAUUCCAAUCGAACCCGGAGAUAGCUGGUUCUCCUCGAAAUAGCUUUAGGGCUAGCCUCAUGGAUCAUUGGUGGGGGUAGAGCACUGAAUGUGCGCGGGGGCCACAAAGCCUACCAAACGCUAUCAAACUUCGAAUACCAUACAAUGCAGACCAUGGGAGUCAGUCCGCGAGAGAUAAGUUCCGCGGGCAAAAGGGGAACACCCCAGAUCAACCGCUAAGGUCCCUAAGUUCACGUUAAGUGGAGAAGGAUGUGGAAUUGCACAGACAACCAGGAUGUUGGCUCAGAAGCAGCCACACAUUUAAAGAGUGCGUAAUAGCUCACUGGUCGAGUGAUUGUGCGCCGAAGAUGUCCGGGGCUAAACGUGACACCGAAGCGAUGGGUGCAUCUGAAGAAGAUGCGCGGUAGAGGAGCAAUGUGCAGAGGCAGAAGCCGUAUCGAGAGGCACGGUGGACACUGCACAAGAGAGAAUGCCGGUAUGAGUAGCGAGAGGCAUGCGAGAAACAUGCCCGUCGAAAGCCCAAGGUUUCCUGGGGAAGGUUCAUCCGCCCAGGGUAAGUCGGGGCCUAAGCCGAGGACGGAAGUCGUAGGCGAUGGACAGCAGGUGUAGAUUCCUGCACUACCGAUGGAAUGAAGCAGUGACACAGAAGGAUAACUCGAGCAGGGUGAUGGUCAACCCUGUGCAAGCAUCAAGGUUGGGUUGUAGUGAAGUACGCAACCCUACAAGCUGAGGUGUGAUGCGGACCGAAAUUUUAGUAGGGAAGCGAGUGAGUUCACGCUGGCGAGAAAAGCUGCUAGUACAUCCAAAGGUACCCGUACCGGAAACCGACGCAGGUGGGCGAGGAGAGAAUCCUGAGACGAACGGGAGAACCCUUGUUAAGGAACUCGGCAAAAUGACCCCGUAACUUCGGGAUAAGGGGUGCCUGCGAGAGCAGGCCGCAGAGAAUAGUCACAAGCGACUGUUUAGCAAAAACACAGGUAUCUGCGAAAGCGAGAGCUGACGUAUAGGUGCUGACACCUGCCCGGUGCUGGAAGGUUAAGGGAACAUGUUAGAGCAAUCGAAGCAUCGAACCGAAGCCCCAGUAAACGGCGGCCGUAACUAUAACGGUCCUAAGGUAGCGAAAUUCCUUGUCGGGUAAGUUCCGACCCG